CACACGUUUUUUCUUAGCGAAGGCGAUUUACAUUGAAUUUUACAUCGUGUAAAACGCUAGCCUUUCUUUUACGAUGAUAAGCAUGUUCUUUUCAACGACUACUGUAGAGUGUUUAUAUGGGCAAGUAGUAGGGUUUUAGGAGAAAGACUAGCUAAUGAGUCAAAUGGCUAAUUAUGGACGGACCCUAUCCAAUAGCAAUUUUCCAACAAAUAACAUUAUUUUUCAGCACACUAAUAGAUUGUCGCAAUUUUUCAUAUUUUUUUUCCUUUCAUAAAUCCAACUACGUUUUGACGAAAGUGUAUAAUUGAUAAGUAAUUCGUGUUGAAGCUAAAGCGUUAAAGGUAAAGAAAAUAGAAGGACCACGAUCGAAUUGCUCAAUUGUUGAAUCUAGUUUCGCUCCCGCCUCCAUUCGGGCAAAUCUCAGAAUGGGGCAAAGUUCAAAGAAGAAGAAGAGGAAGAGUGGUGGAUUGGGGCGGCGCAACAAGUCAUCCAAAUCCAAAGAUCACAAUUCGAUUGGUGACGGUAAUUCUGAAUUGCUUGCCGAAGAGGUCACUGCAUUGUGUGCCAUAUUUCAAGAAGAUUGUGAAGUUGUUUCAGAGUCACCUUCACAGCUUCAUAUCAAGCUCAGGCCUUACUCAAAGGAUGCUGGCUAUGAAGAUUCAGAUGUGUCAGCUCUUCUUUCAGUGAGGUGUUUGCCUGGGUAUCCAUACAAGACCCCAAAGCUUCAGAUAAUACCAGAGAAAGGCUUAUCCAAAGCUGAUGCUAACAACCUUUUGUCUUUGCUUUAUGAUCAGGCCAGCUCCAACGCUCGAGAAGGGCGUGUAAUGAUCUACAAUUUGGUUGAAGCUGCUCAAGAAUUCUUGUCUGAAAUUGUUCCACAGGAGCAUUUGCAUGGAUCGGUUUCAUGCCAGUCGACCGAUAUUACCAGCCAAUUGACUUAUAAGGAUGCGUCAGCUUCAUCUGGCGAUACCUGUUCUUUUGGUGGACCAUUUGUGUAUGGCUUUUUAGAUCUUUUUAGUGGCUCAGGUGAGUCAUGGCAUUGGAGUCUGGGAAUGAAUGAUACUGGUCGCAUAGACUCUUUGGUGCAGCCCCAUGUAUCAGAAGGUCUCAAACAUGAAUAUGACAAUCAGCAAAAGAAAAUUGACCAAAUUGUGAAGCCAGCAUUGAAUGAAGCAGCAAAGCAAGACUCUUUGCGUAAGGCUGAAAUGAAAUUGGAUGAUCUUGAAGAAGAGAGUGUAGGCGAGAGUAAAAGUUGUAGUGAUUUGAGCAAAAGUUAUACGGAUGAAUCAACUGAAGACCAUGUCAUGUGCAAGAAUAUUUUUUUGGAAGGGAAUAUAUCAGACAGUGGUGAUGCUCAGUGGGAAACUGAACCUAAACCUUCAGAACUGGUGUCCUCUGGAUCUCUGGUCCAGGACCAUUUACCCCACACUCUAGAAAAAGACCUCAUUCUGGCACACUUGCUUCGGCUUGCCUGCGGCCCUAAAGGACCGCUAUCUGAUGCUUUGCCAGAAAUAACAUCAGAGCUCUUUGACCUUGGGAUCGUCUCCAAACGUGUACAAGAUUUGGCAAGCAAACCUUCUUCAUUUUUUGAUGGGACUUUUGAUCGUGUUUUUCAAGCACAUAAGGUGUCAUCAAAGCUCUCACAAUUUUGGAAAGCUUCAUCUGAAUUUGAAGGGCAGAAUUCUUCACCUCCUCAAAACUCUCGUUAUUUGAAUGACUUUGAGGAGCUCCAACCCCUAGGUCAGGGUGGGUUUGGUCACGUUGUGUUGUGCAAGAAUAAGCUUGAUGGGAGGCAAUAUGCAGUGAAGAAGAUUCGAUUAAAGGACAAGAGUCUGCCUGUAAAUGACCGUAUAUUGAGGGAAGUUGCCACACUUUCGCGGUUGCAGCAUCAACAUGUUGUUCGCUAUUACCAGGCAUGGUUUGAAACAGGCAUCACUCUAUCUUGCGAUGAUUCCAGCUGCGGUUCCAGAACUGUUGUGAGCUCUAGUUUCACCUAUGUGGAUGGAAGUAUGUCGGACCACCUUGGACAGGAGAAUAAGCUCGAGUUGACUUACCUAUAUAUCCAAAUGGAAUACUGCCCAAGGACGCUCCGUCAAAUGUUUGAAUCAUAUAGCAAUUUAGACAAGGAACUUGCAUGGCAUUUAUUCCGCCAAAUUGUAGAAGGCUUGGCACAUAUCCAUGGACAAGGCAUUAUUCAUCGUGACUUGACACCUAAUAAUAUAUUUUUUGACGCUCGCAAUGACAUUAAAAUCGGGGAUUUUGGUCUAGCCAAAUUCUUGAAACUAGAGCAGCUGGACCAGGAUGUAGAUGCUGCCGAGAUGAUAGGAGUUUCUGUUGAUGGAACUGGCCAAGUUGGUACAUAUUUCUAUACUGCACCUGAAAUAGAACAAAGGUGGCCCAAGAUCAAUGAGAAGGCUGAUAUGUACAGCUUAGGAGUUGUUUUCUUCGAGUUGUGGCAUCCUUUUGACACUGCAAUGGAGCGACAUAUUGUUCUUUCUGAUUUAAAACAAAAAGGAGAGGUUCCUCCUGCUUGGGCUGCCGAAUUUCCAGAGCAGGCAUCCUUGUUAAGGCGCUUAAUGACCCCAAGUCCGUCUGACCGUCCAUCAGCCGUCGAACUUCUUCAAAAUGACUUUCCUCCUCGAAUGGAGUAUGAGAUGUUGGAUAAUAUUCUUAGGACAGUUCACAUUUCAGAUGACACUGGUGUUUAUGAUAAAAUUGUAAAUGCCAUUUUCAAUGAAGACACGUUAAACACAAAAGGCCAUAACACGAAUCUUGAAAGUUCGAAGGUGGUUGGAAGGGAUACCUCAUGUAUUCUGUUCACUGAUCUACAGACUGAAAGGCGCGAUAAUGUCGUCGAGAUUUCCACAGAAGUAUUCAGACGACAUUGUGCAAAGCAUUUGGAGAUCAUACCCAUGCGAAUGCUUGGUGAAUGUCCACAGGAGAAUAGUCGAGAAAGAAGUGCUGUUAAGCUUUUGACUCAUGGAGGAGACGUGGUUGAGCUUUGCCAUGAACUUCGACUUCCUUUUGUGAAAUGGAUAAUUGCCAAUCGGAGAUCAUUCUUUAAACGCUAUGAAAUAUCAUAUGUAUACCGGCGAGCGAUUGGCCAUUCACCCCCAAACCGAUAUCUGCAGGGGGACUUCGAUAUUAUUGGAGGGGAAACAGCUUUAACUGAGUCAGAAAUAAUUAAGGCCACAAUGGACAUUAUUCUUCAUUACUUCCAUUCUGAAUCAUGUGAUAUUCAUUUGAAUCAUGCGGAUCUUUUGGACGCAAUUUGGGCUUGGGCAGGAAUCAGACCAGAACACAGACAAAAAGUUGCAGAGCUUCUUUCCCUUUUGGGUUCCUUGCGCCCUCAAUCUUCUGAAAGAAAGACGAAAUGGGUGGUCAUCAGGCGACAACUUCGACAGGAACUCAAUCUUGCAGAAACUGCUGUAAAUAGAUUACAAACAGUGGGGUUGAGGUUCUGUGGAGUUGCAGACCAUGCUCUUCCUCGAUUAAGGGGAGCUCUUCCUCCUGACAAAACCACCCGCAAGGCACUUGACGAUUUGUCAGAACUUUUUAACUACCUACGAGUUUGGAGACUUGAUCAACGUGUCUAUAUAGAUGCCCUUAUGCCACCAACUGAGAGUUACCACAGGAAGUUGUUUUUCCAGAUAUAUUUAAGAAAGGAUGACCAUCUUGGAUCACUAAUGGAAGGAACAUUGCUUGCGGUAGGUGGUCGAUACGACUACCUGCUCCACCAAAGUGGGGAUUCGGAAUGUUUGAUUAACAUAUUCUGCAGCCAAAUUAUGUUAAACAGAAUAAGCUGGAGGAAGUGGUGUCAUCAAAUCAAAUCCUCCUGGAGCUGCAGGGAGCAGUCUUGCCUUAGAGACGAUUUUGCAACAUGCUUCUUCUCUAGAGAUAUGAUGUUGUCACUAAUGUUCUUGUUUGUUCAAGAGGAGGGGGUGGUCUAUUAAUAGAGCGGAUGGAACUAUUGGCAGAGCUUUGGGAGGAAAAUAUCAGGGCUGAAUUUGUUCCUCUAUGCGAUCCAAGCCUCACGGAACAGUAUGAAUAUGCUAAUGAGCAUGACAUUAAAUGCCUUGUCAUCAUCACUGACACUGGUGUAUCCCAAAAGGACUCAGUGAAGGUCCGACAUCUUGAGCUCAAGAAGGAAAAAGAAGUGGAGAGAGGAAACCUCGUCAAGUUUCUACUAGAGGCAAUGUCAUCUCAGUUUAGAAACCCAUCCAUCUGGAACUAGGCUCUGUUCAAGCUCACAUUUCCAGGUAACUGAUGGGCUUGUCAGGCCUAGCAAGAGAUAAAGGGAACUAUCUGCCUAAUGGUCUUCCACACUUUAAGAUCAACAGAACUGUUGUGGGAGAGCUGGGGCAUCCUUGCCAAUGUGUCAACUCAGAUGGUAGAUAUUACUGAAUGACACAUUGGAACAUGAAGUCAGUUUAACCAAAUGACAAGUAGGUGCGAAAUGAUAUUAGUGAUUUGUACGGUAAUAAAUGCAACAGGGAUGGAAGAACUAAAUGCAAGGCGAUAUCAUUUGUCGUCAUACCUGCUGGAUGAAGUGAAUGCCGUUGCACACUUGAAUGGCAGUAGAACUUGAGAUUGUUGUUCUCCGGAAUCCUCCGCAUCCUUGAGAGAUGGGGCAACUGUUGCACUUGAACCUUGGUUGGCCAGCUACUGGUCUUGCAGUUGCACUGCCCCAUGCGCUAGGACGGCAAACUUACGUUUAAAAGGUGUUUCAUUAUGCACAAGAAGUUCCAGUUGACCAAGGGCUUUUUGGAAUCUAAAAGUUGCUGGUAGUUCCCUAGUAUCUCUUCUCAAUUUUUUUUGCCAUUAAAAAAAAUCAGCUUUUCAUUUUCUGUGGCAUAAAGUAGAGAGUGCUUACUGCAAAAUUCUUCUUUAGAUUUAUGAUUGAGAUAUUUUCGAAUAUGGAAAUCAGAUUUUUGUUGUCAUGCACUUGAUCUGAUGAUGCUCAGUGAAGGUGUAAUUUUGUUGAUUGAGUUGUCUAAGGUCAUGUUUGGCAUCCUUAUGUCAACUCAUUGCUUCAACAUUCUUGAAAACUAACUCUUCAUUCCUGGGGUAACCUUUUUUAUAUGACAAAGAUCAACACCAGUAACUGCGUUCAUCUACCUAAUAACUGCUCAGUGCUUGAAAUGUACCUGAGGAGGAAUCAUGUUGACUUCGUUCCCCCUAUUCAUGUCAGAAUUUGUGUGCUAUGCUGCAGCUAAACCACUUAAAGCAUCUUCCAACUUGUUUCAUGUUCCUUCUCAUCAACAUUAUUGAACGAGCCUACAGUUCACAGUGGGGGCAACCAGGCUGGGAAAGAGCCUACAGUAACUUUAAGCUUUUGAGAUUGUUACUUUGUUUGUAUGGACAAUUUUGGUAUAACUGAAUAUAUCAAAUGAUAUUCGAUUUUUGACGGAACUGUUAAGGAUAGCACUAGUUCUGCAUGAAGUAUUUUUUAUCCUCAUUCAUUGUAAAGGAAAACACUAACUCUUUCAUUUUUAUUUGAAUCAUGUCUUGAGGAAUAUGAAUAUCACGCAUUGCAUUAA
This is an RNA transcript of Nicotiana attenuata, 5540 nucleotides long. It is a transcript of the gene named eIF-2-alpha kinase GCN2, with no coding region annotated. The transcript has 31 exons. Lineage: Eukaryota; Viridiplantae; Streptophyta; Magnoliopsida; Solanales; Solanaceae. The record is from RefSeq and is a predicted model, not a curated record.